This 440-nucleotide ribosomal RNA is filed under the name uncultured bacterium. RNAcentral describes it as "partial 16S ribosomal RNA". It matches the Rfam family "Bacterial small subunit ribosomal RNA", at positions 338 to 795 of the family's 1533-position model. The record is from RNAcentral.
CCUACGGGAGGCAGCAGUGGGGAAUAUUGCACAAUGGGGGCAACCCUGAUGCAGCGACGCCGCGUGAGUGAAGAAGUAAUUCGUUAUGUAAAGCUCUAUCAGCAGGGAAGAAAAUGACGGUACCUGAGUAAGAAGCCACGGUUAACUACGUGCCAGCAGCCGCGGUACUACGGAGGGAGCAGGCGUUAUCCGGAUUUACUGGGUGUUAAGGGGGCGUAGACGGGAGGUCAAGUCUGGAGUUAAAGGCGGGGGCUCAACCCCCGUACUGCUCUGGAAACUGUACGGCUGGAGUGCAGGAGAGGUAAGUGGAAUUCCUGGUGUAGCGGUGAAAUGCGUAGAUAUUAGGCAGAACACCGAUGGCGAAGGCAGCUUACUGGACUGUAACUGACGUUGAGGCUCGAAAGCGUGGGGAGCAAACAGGAUCAGAUACCCGAGUAGUC